GCACCGGCUAACUCCGUGCCAGCAGCCGCGGUAAUACGGAGGGUGCGAGCGUUAAUCGGAAUUACUGGGCGUAAAGCGCAUGCAGGUGGUUUGUUAAGUCAGAUGUGAAAGACCCGGGGCGUCAACCUCGGAAUAGCAUUUGAAACUGGCAGACUAGAGUACUGUAGAGGGGGGUAGGAAUUUCAGGUGUAGCGGUGAAAUGCGUAGAGAUCUGAAGGAAUACCGGUGGCGAAGGCGGCCCCCUGGACAGAUACUGACACUCAGAUGCGAAAGCGUGGGGAGCAAACAGGAUUAGAUACCCUGGUAG
Molecule: ribosomal RNA, 307 nt
Filed under: uncultured bacterium
Lineage: Bacteria
Description: bacterial SSU rRNA
Rfam family: Bacterial small subunit ribosomal RNA
Source: RNAcentral